This 439-nucleotide ribosomal RNA is filed under the name Glutamicibacter sp. Its description in RNAcentral is "bacterial SSU rRNA". It matches the Rfam family "Bacterial small subunit ribosomal RNA", at positions 62 to 514 of the family's 1533-position model. The record is from RNAcentral. Lineage: Bacteria; Bacillati; Actinomycetota; Actinomycetes; Micrococcales; Micrococcaceae.
UCGAACGAUGAAGCCCAGCUUGCUGGGUGGAUUAGUGGCGAACGGGUGAGUAACACGUGAGUAACCUGCCCCUGACUCUGGGAUAAGCCCGGGAAACUGGGUCUAAUACCGGAUAUGACUUUUGACCGCAUGGUUGAGGGUGGAAAGAUUUAUCGGUUGGGGAUGGACUCGCGGCCUAUCAGCUUGUUGGUGAGGUAAUGGCUCACCAAGGCGACGACGGGUAGCCGGCCUGAGAGGGUGACCGGCCACACUGGGACUGAGACACGGCCCAGACUCCUACGGGAGGCAGCAGUGGGGAAUAUUGCACAAUGGGCGCAAGCCUGAUGCAGCGACGCCGCGUGAGGGAUGACGGCCUUCGGGUUGUAAACCUCUUUCAGUAGGGAAGAAGCGAAAGUGACGGUACCUGCAGAAGAAGCGCCGGCUAACUACGUGCCAGCAG